Molecule: unclassified non-coding RNA, 3662 nt
Filed under: Helicoverpa zea (corn earworm)
Lineage: Eukaryota; Metazoa; Arthropoda; Insecta; Lepidoptera; Noctuidae
Description: phosphatidylinositol 3-kinase catalytic subunit type 3, transcript variant X1
Source: RNAcentral
AUGGCUUACGUCAUCCGUUUGACAGAUUUACAUUUUACAUGGAAAAAGGAAAACAGAAAACAGUAAAAAGAGCAAAAACAGGCGAAACUAUUGUGGGAUCAACAAUUUAUUCGUAAAUAACAUCAAGAUGAAUGAGAUUGAUGAUAAAUUUUACUACGUGUAUAGUUCCUCAUUGGAUCACAAAGUCGAGAUAAAAAUAGGCACAUUAGAAGGCAAGCGAGCUAAACCGGAAUAUGACAAGCUGCUCUCAGAUCCGAUGCUCAAGUUCUCCGGUCUGUACCAGGAAGGAUGUUCCGACUUAUAUGUGACCUGCCAGAUACUGAGCGAUGGACAGCCUCUGGCGUUACCUGUUACAACGUCUUAUAAGUCUUUUAGUAAUCGAUGGAAUUGGAACGAAUGGGUGACGCUACCAGUGUACUUCAGCGAUUUACCCCGCAACGCGACCCUGGCUAUGACGAUAUACGACUGCGCUGGGCCGGGCAAGCUCAUGGUUGUGGGGGGCACUACUAUAUCGCUGUUUGGGAAGCAUGGCAUGUUGAGACAGGGUAUGUUCGACCUUCGCGUGUGGCCGGGCGUGGAGGGCAGCGAGAAGACUCCGGGCAAAGCCCCCGAUAGGGGCAAGGAGCAGAUGCAGAGGCUCGCCAAGCUGGCCAAGAAACAUCGGAACGGACAUAUACCUAAGGUGGACUGGCUAGACCGGCUGACGUUCAGGGAGAUAGAAAUGAUAAAUGAAAAGGAAAAACGCAGUUCAGACUAUAUGUACUUGAUGGUGGAAUUUCCUACGGUGCAGAUCGCUGGGAUCGACCAUGCAGUAGUGUACUAUGAACAAGAUGGCGACGAGAUGUAUCAGUUCCGAGCUCAAGCUGACAUCGUCACCGUACCUGACUAUGAGAUCUUACAGGAAAACCUAGUAGAAAGCAAACAGCACCGUCUAGCUCGUUCCCUCCGGUCGGGAGUGUCGGGUCGCGACGCCAAGCCAACUGCGGCCGAGCGCGACCAGCUCGCCGCGCUAGUGGCCGCGCCACCAGCCCGCCCGCUCACUGCCACCGACCAGGACCUGCUGUGGAAGUUCAGGUUCUACUUAUCAUCACAUCGCAGAGCGCUUACGAAAUUCCUGGAAUGUGUCAACUGGAACAGGCCAGGCGAGGUGCGGCAAGCCCUGUCUAUGAUGAAGCAAUGGGCGCCCAUGGACGUAGAAGAUGCACUUGAACUAUUGACUCCUAAGUUUACACAUCCCGCUGUCAGAAAGUACGCCAUCUCCCGUCUGAAACAAGCGCCCGAUGACGAUCUCUUACUGUACUUGCUACAGUUAGUACAAGCUCUGAAAUAUGAAGACUUCAACGAGAUACAUGACGAAUACGCUCGCGUAUGCGGCAAAGACCCGAGCACAGCUGAAUUAGAAUCUCGCGAGAGUCGCCUCAUGCAGAGUGGACACAGGGGUAGUCAAGCAAGUUUGUUGUCAGCCUCAGUGCUAACAGCAAGUGAGAUGACGUCAUCGACGACUAGCCGUCGUUCUACCGACGCCACCAUCGAGGAAGCCCCCGCUGCUAUCGAUUCUAAUGUUAGCGUCAACAAUAAUAACGACAAUGCAAAUCUAAUGGAUAAUAAUAACCCUUUCAGUGAAGACCCAUCAGAAGAGCGUCUAUCCCUAGCUUCGUUCCUGAUCUCCCGCGCCUGCAGCAACAGUGUAGUCGCCAACUACCUGUACUGGUACCUGCUCAUCGAGUGCGAGGACAGCGAUGCUGCACGGGAUCUGACUGCCAGGCAUAUGUACCUCGCUGUCAUGAGGACUUUCAGCCAUCGACUGGCUAGAGGUGACGCGGACCACCAGCGCAGCCGCUCGUUCCUGGCCCGCCAGCAGGUGUUCAUCGACAAGCUCGUGAAGCUCGUCAAGACCGUCGCCCGCGAGAGCGGCAACAGGAACAAGAAGGCUGAACGACUGCAGCAGUUGCUGGCAGACCCUGAUGCUUUCAAGUUUAACUUUACUAACUUCGAGCCUAUGCCUUUCCCUUUGGACCCUAAUGUUACUAUUAAAGGAAUCGUCGCCAAAAAAGCGAGCCUAUUCAAAUCCGCAUUAAUGCCUUCAAAGCUAACCUUCUUAACCACAGAAGGCAUGGAGUACGAAGCCAUUUUCAAACACGGAGAUGAUUUACGCCAAGACCAACUUAUACUACAAAUGAUCACAUUAAUGGACAAAUUAUUGAGACGAGAAAACUUAGAUUUAAAAUUAACUCCGUACAAAGUUUUAGCGACAAGUUCUAAACAUGGGUUUUUGCAAUUUAUUGAGUCUGUGACGGUAGCUGAAGCGUUGGCUACGGAGGGUAGCAUACAGAAUUUCUUCAGGAAACAUAAUCCGUGUGAAGGUGCCCCGUAUGGCAUUAAGCCUGAAACUAUGGAUACUUAUAUUAGGAGUUGUGCGGGGUAUUGUGUUAUUACUUAUUUGCUUGGCGUCGGCGACCGUCACCUGGACAACUUACUCCUGACAAAAUCCGGAGCCCUAUUCCACAUCGACUUCGGCUACAUCCUGGGCCGCGACCCCAAGCCGCUGCCGCCGCCCAUGAAGCUCAGCAAGGAGAUGGUCGAAGCCAUGGGAGGAGUCCACUCCGAGCUGUACCAUGAGUUCCGCAAGCAGUGCUAUACUGCCUUCUUGCAUUUGCGCAGGCACGCGAAUUUAAUGUUGAAUCUAUUCUCUCUGAUGGUGGAUGCGUCUGUGCCCGACAUCGCGCUAGAACCUGACAAGGCUGUCAAGAAGGUGCAAGAUAAGCUAAGACUGGACUUAGGCGACGAGGAAGCGGUGCACUACUUACAGAAUCUUCUAGACAUGUCUGUGACAGCUGUCAUGGCUGUGCUCGUGGAACAAUUCCACAAGUUUGCACAAUAUUGGCGGAAAUAAACUGGUUUACACCACUUUGAUUUGACAUGGGACUGAAGGAAAUAAAGUCGUACUCUUGGACCUAGUAACAAACUGUGUGCAAACAUUUUCUAACAUGUCCGCGAAAUGACAACCUGCUGUGGGCUCGUGUUGACGUGAACUACUUAUUAACCCCUUGAACGCCGAUGCGCGGGUCCACGCGAGACCUAAUUGAUUUUCUAUUGUUCUCAAAUUAGCGGCAUUCAAAAUGCAUGGUCUCGGUAGGAAAUCCAUCGACUGAGAGACGAAAAUCUGCAUGCCCUAUAACCCAGAUGAGCAUAUUUUUGACAAGGGUAUUAAUUUGAUAAUAAUUGUUCAAUAUUGACACAAUUUUUGACAUAUUGCUGAUUUUAAAGUCUUCCAUUACCGGAUUUUAAUUCGUAUUUUGCAAAUUCUCAUUUUGGCAUAACAUCUUGUCCCUGUGGUCAAAGUGUAAAGCUGAUUAUAGACUAAUUCGCUACUUAGCUAUUUUUAAUGAAUUUAUUCAAUAUUUAAAAAUUGUAUUUAUGUAUGUAAUCAUUUUAUUGGCAAAAUCGCUUUUGUAAAGUUUUAUUGUACCUUUCUCGCCAAGAAAAAAAUCGCUCUCGUAUUCUGUAUAAUAUUUAUUGGUAAAAUAUUAUAAUCACACCAUUUUCAAGUUUUUUUUUACAAUAAAUUGGCUAAAUUGAAAGAUGGGCGAACAACAUACUGUGAUAAAAUUAGGUAUUAUAAGUGUUCAUGAUUUUGUAAUAAUAAAUGCUAUUUUAAUAAA